This 440-nucleotide ribosomal RNA is filed under the name Daphnia galeata. RNAcentral's name for it is "partial 12S ribosomal RNA". Lineage: Eukaryota; Metazoa; Arthropoda; Branchiopoda; Diplostraca; Daphniidae. The record is from RNAcentral.
UUCAAUUUUUGAAGUUUCUCUAGCUUUUUUGUUGGGUGAAAUCAGUAUAAGAAGCUCUUUCUUCUUUAAAAAUUAGUAGGAACUAAAAAACUUUGAUUUAAAACCAGGAUUAGAUACCCUGUUAUUCUCAGUUAUUCUUAAACAGGGUAGUAAAAGUUGUUCUUCAAACCCAAAGAUUUUGGCGGCACUUUAUCCAAAUAGAGGAGCUUGUCCCUUAAUCGAUAGUCCUCGUUUUAUCUUUCCUUCAUUUGUAAAGCUUGUAUACCGCCGUUGUCAGAUUACUUUUAGAGAAUGUUUUCAAGUUAAAAGACUUUAUAACUUCAGGUCAAGGUGCAGUUUAUAUGGGGGUGGAGGUGAGCUACAGUUUUCUUUAGAAAAUACGGAUUCUAAGCUUUGAAGCUAGCUGAAGGUGGAUUUACUAGUAAAGUAAUUUAAGUAAA